CGUAACAAGGUUUCCGUAGGUGAACCUGCGGAAGGAUCAUUGUCGA
RNAcentral lists this ribosomal RNA (46 nucleotides) under Cannabis sativa. RNAcentral describes it as "partial 18S ribosomal RNA". It matches the Rfam family "Eukaryotic small subunit ribosomal RNA", at positions 1790 to 1831 of the family's 1831-position model. The record is from RNAcentral. Lineage: Eukaryota; Viridiplantae; Streptophyta; Magnoliopsida; Rosales; Cannabaceae. RNAcentral also lists the same sequence under 16 other names.